AACCAAAGGGAUAUUUUUGACGGUGUUUCAUGGUUGGCUUUUCUUUUGACAAGCCGCUGAUAGGUUUAUGGCUGUGCUGAGACAUAGCGGCGGGGUGGGGGGUGGUUGUGCGCACAAAACAGAAGUUGGACGGUGAUGAAAGAACAGAGGUGCGGAGAGGGAGAGAGCACAGAUGAAACGGGCUGAUGACAAUACAAGCGCAAUCUGCAGGAAACGAGAAAGAAUAGUCAUUAGUGCGGCACAGUCACGUUGCACGGAGACUCCCGGCGGGACAAUUACACCCCGUCCCGUCUCCUUCCCGGCAUGCGCGGGGGGCGGUGGCCAUCCCGCUCCUCUCUCUCAGCUCCGAGGUUCUUCGGGGAGACACGGGUUGGACCAGCGGCACCCCUGACGCGCAUCGUUCUGCAGCGCCGGGGAAGCGGGAAGAGCGGCGCUUGGGUGGGAUGGCACACGUCCGCCGUGGCGCUACCCACGAUGCUCUGUCCCUCGACAUCAGGGAACGGUUGUCCACGAGGGCCAGAGGAAGGUGAGGGCCGGGUGGGGUGUGGUUCUCCUCCUGAUCUGGGACCGGGGCUUUGUGGCAGGCAGGUGAGUGAGCGGUGGAUGGGGGGCGUAGACUCUAGGCAUCACCUCAUCCGUCACCAGGCAGGAGCGCUGGCCUGGAAGCCAGCUGACAGACGGCAAUAAGGAGUGGGCAGUAAUGAUAGUGCGAUUACCGCAGUAAUACCGAGAUUACUCCUAAUGCUGCUUUCAAGCUGGCGGCACUGUGUCCUGUGUGUGUGGGAAGUCUUUUGGGCGGCUUGUAGCCCCUUUUUUACACCAAUCAGAGAUGAAACACAUGGAACAGGGGUCGAGGGGAAAGGCGGGAAGGAGAGGACGAGACGCCAUCCCAGGCAGGGAUGUGAUCCGCGGUGCUGACCUCACACACCGACCCCCCGCAGGAGGAGGUGGAGUCUCCUGGGUCGGACCGUGCGAAGAAGGAGCGAAAUUGGUCGAUGAGGGUCACGGGGAGCCAGAGCCUAACCCGGCAACACAGGGCGUAAGGCUGGAGAGGGAGGGGACACGCCCAGGACGGGACGCCAGUCCAUCCCAAGGCACCCAAGCAGGACUCGAACCCCAGACCCACCGAAGAGCAGGACCCAGCCAAACCUGCCCGCCGCCCCUGUAUUGGCUGAGCAUCGGAGCCUCUGAUCUAAGCUGGGUGAGGCUCAAGAUCGACUGGCCGCCCUUCUCCUACGCUCUGCACACCCCCCACUCAAUGGAAACUCACUGGGAAUCCGGUGGGGGUAUUUCUCCGCAGCGCCCUCUGGUGGUAGCUCAUGUCGUCAUCUCAGUCUUCUCCCCCUCCCUCUGUAUUCUUUCUGUUGGCCCCCUUGCCAGCCCUCUGUCAGGCGGGGGGUGGGGGGUUCGGCAUGAUUGA
Molecule: long non-coding RNA, 1420 nt
Filed under: Scleropages formosus (Asian bonytongue)
Lineage: Eukaryota; Metazoa; Chordata; Actinopteri; Osteoglossiformes; Osteoglossidae
Description: lncRNA (ENSSFOG00015031090.1)
Source: RNAcentral